RNAcentral lists this ribosomal RNA (255 nucleotides) under uncultured prokaryote. Its description in RNAcentral is "partial 16S ribosomal RNA". It matches the Rfam family "Bacterial small subunit ribosomal RNA", at positions 524 to 780 of the family's 1533-position model. The record is from RNAcentral.
UACGUAGGGACGAGCGUUGUCCGGAAUUACUGGGCGUAAAGGGCGCGCAGGCUGUAGAUCAAGUCAGCUGUGAAAUGUCUGGGCUUAACCCGGGCAUGCGGUUGAAACUGAUGUACUGGAGUGCUGUAGAGGCAAGUGGAAUUCCCAGUGUAGCGGUGAAAUGCGUAGAUAUUGGGAAGAACACCGGUGGCGAAGGCGACUUGCUGGGCAGCAACUGACGCUGAGGAGCGAAAGCAUAGGUAGCGAACAGGAUUA